UUGAUAGGGAGUCGAAACUGCCUCGCCUCUCAAAUCCACCGCCAAAUCUACGCGGUUCCGGCGCCUUAUUGCUGACCCAAGUCUGGGCUUCAUCGGCUUUUGAUUGCGAUUCGAAGAAUCCACCUCUCUCUCUCCUCUCAAAGCUACUUCCCACCGUCGAUUUCUUCCCGGCGGCCCAGUUAUCAAUCUCGUCAGCACGAGAGGGACCAGAUUCCCUGGGUGCAUCCCUAUUGAAACCGCCCUGCCUCCUCCCUUCAUCAGAAACCCUAGAAGAGGAUCCCCACCUAGGAUUCGGCGAAUCUUCGUUAUAACGACCGUAGGACUUAAAGCCACCGCCUAGGCGCGAGCGGUCGAGCUCCUCAGCGGAGCGUUGGCGUGGGCCGGUGGGGAGGGAGAGGAGCUCGUCAUGAGUGAGACGGUCCGGCUGUGACGAGGGCUUAGAAGAGCCGUAUGUGGUGAACUCGCCAAGGGAAAGGGUUUGGCCCUUGUUCUUCUUUUUAGGUUUGCUGGCGGCGGCCGCGGAAAGAGAAGGAAAAUCUCCGGGAAGAGCGGCGGUGUCUUGCUGUUCUUUGAGGAGUUCGGCCUCGUGCUCCUCGGCGUCUAGGGCCCAUGCGCCGGGCUUUCCCCAUGGAGACGAAACCGUUGCAGCCAUGGUUGUGUUUUUGCCUUUUUUCGCAGAUUUUUCUUCAAGAGUGUCUGGAUGGUCUUAGAUUGCGUUGGUUGGCAGCUAAACUGGUCGGGGCUGGCAUUGCUUAAUAUGUAGUGGAAAGAUGUGAGAUUUGAUCCGACGGUGGAGAACGACAACUAGAGAUUCUCUUGGUUGACGGAAUGUUGGCUUUGAUGCGAUCAUACGGACGGUCGUGAUCUCAUAAGGAUUAAGUAUAAUAUUUUCCCUUAGCCUGGAGAGAAAUUAGGGAUGAACCUGUUGUAAUUAGUUUUAUUUUCUAUAAUUUAUUUUUAAAUUUAUAGAAUUAUUCUAAAAAUAAGUUGGACUAUAUAGAUUAUUUCUAUGCAGGCGUCAAUUUUAAAAAAAAAAUUCUAAAAAAAUAAUUAUUGUGUGUAUUUUUUCUUUCUUAUAUUUAAGUAAAACAAGAUAUUUGUUUCUGUUAUUUAUUAAAAUUAACUUCAUAAAUUUAAUACUGAAUUAUAAAAAAAAAAAAAAUUGAGACAUAAUUGUAAAGUAAUUAAUAAUUUAAUAAAAAAUACUAAUUAUAAUUUUAAAAAACCUUUUUUUUUUAUAAAUAUUUCUGACUUUGAUAUAAAUAUCAGAAUAUAAUCUCACAACUUCUAUCUAGUAUUAAAUAUUUAUUUAUUUAUUAUUACUAUAAUAUUUAUUUUUUUUAAAUUUUACACUGAUUUAUUCAGCCAAGUAAUUAUUUUAUGUAAACUAAUGAUCUAAAAUUUGAAAUAAUUAAGAAAUCCGUACUACACCAUUAGUACCGAUCUGCUCAGAGUAUUUUUUGUUAAGCAAAUCUUAGAAGAAUAAGAGUAGCCCGCUUUAAACGUGCGUAUCUAUCUGAAUAUUGAAUACCCCCCUUUUUUAAAAAAAAAAAGUUUAUCAAUCUUUUUUAUUGUGUUUUUUAUUAAUUUAAUCAAUAUUUAUAACAAAUAAAGCAAAUUUUUAUUUAAAUUAUUAUUGUUUAAAAAUGAAAGUAAUUUUUAAAUUUUGCUUCAUCUCUUGUAGUUUUACACUUGAUAAAUUUUUUAUACAAAUAAAAAAUAAUCAUGUUAUAUUAAUUUUCCCUUUAUAAAAAAAAAAUAACAAAACUCAGAAUCAAAUAAUGGAGGUGAUAUUUCUUAAACGUUAAGCACGGAGAUAUUUUUUAAAAGGCCGAAGUCGGCCGCUUUCAACUCCUGCAGAUUUGGUUUUUAAUCGCGAACAAUCCUCAAGUCAAAUUCAAAUGUGACACCUCCUUCACCAACAGGAAAUUAAUUGGCAUAUUAAUUUAAUAAUCAAUCUUAGCCGAAUUGAAACUUAAAACAAGCAAUGUACAUCUACAAUAAUAUCCUCAAAAGUGCAUGUAAACAAAAUUCCCCCACCUUUAGCAAAGUGAUUCUUGCACACUUUUCCAAAUGCAAAGCUCCAUCGCAAAAGCCACUGACAUCUAAAAGCCAGAUUCUUCAUAAUCCAGAGAUUUCGGUAAUAAUGAUUUAAGUGUACAACAAGUAAAGGCUUGCUUGAAAAUUACAAAAAUGAUUCGGCAACUGCACGUAUAUAAUAAACUGGAGAAGAAAAUGAGCCGGAAAGAAUAGAAGAAUCAAUCAAAAGCCCGUCUAUGGCAAAACCUCAAUUGGAAGUGUGUACUAGAAUGAAGAAUAAAGGCAAGCUUUCCUAUGUAAAACUUCUAGUAUCACAAGACUAUCAAGAGAACUGUAAAUGAUACCAUUUUAUUGGUGUAUGUUGAGUUCCUUAGCCUGAUGUUCGAAGUUUGGGUGACGCAUCAUCCAUUCAGAGAUUCCAGUUUGGUGUCCAGGUCACNNNNNNNNNNNNNNNNNNNNNNNNNNNNNNNNNNNNNNNNNNNNNNNNNNNNNNUGUUGAGAAGAUUGUUCUUGUUCUCUUGUUGCGUGAAGUAUAAUUGUUCCUGAAAGGACAGUGACGAAUCCACAUAUCUCAGAGGCUAUACUGCUUGCAUUUUGGCCCGACCAAUCCUGUAGAAAACAUCAAAUGCCAUAAGUUUUGCAUUAAUCUGUUCCUUGUAUUAACUGCCCAGAAGAGGGAAAUCAUCCCAAAUGAAAAAAGAAACCAGAAGAUGAAUCAAAUAAUUUACCUUAAACAUUAUCACACUGGCAACAAUAGUAAGGGUUGUAAACAUUACAUAAUAUACAGGAGAAACAAUUGCAGCAUUGAAAGUAUCCAAGGCCUGAAACAAAGAAAAUAAUGAACUUAGACCACAAGGCAAUGCCACUCCUCUAAAUGAUAUUCGGCUUAUAUGCACUAUAAGGACGUAAAAAGUUACGAUGAUGGUCGUUAAACCAACUGGAACACUGAAAGAGAACCACCCAAGCAUGUAGUGCCUCUUAAGUUUAUCAAAUGUGUCAGCCCGUUGUGUGACAGUGACACAGUGAGGAAAAAGCAGAAAUGGCCAGGUGCAAAGCUGCUUGAAGGACUACUUAGAUCCAAUUUGCACUUUUAACGAUUAAAAGUCUUUAGAAUGUUUGAAACUUAUAAUUUAUGAGGAAUAUUAAAAUAAAGAUGGGAGUAUUCCUAUAAAUUUGUCCCAAAAGAAUGAACCAUGAUCUUAUCUAUCUUCACACAUCCACCAAGCACUAGAUAUCCUAAGUAACAAAAAACAAGAAUCCUCCGUAUGUUGAAACAAGAUGAUAUUCAUCACUCAUUUGAGUAGAUGUUAUGUGUCAUGGCAUGGUGCCAUUUGACGAAGACUACCAGAUGAAGAAAGAAAAAGAAUUAAGUGCUUGGCUGCUAAAUACGAAGUGUUUAGUUUGUUAUGUUUGAAUUUAUUAUAUUAUAUCUAUGUAUUAUGUUGUCUCUUUUAAUCAGUUAGAGUAGGCAGUUUGUUUAUGUAUUUUGUUCUGUCUUUUAGUCAGUAAAGGUGUGCAGUUUGGAUAAGCAGUUCAUUGCACUUGAAUUCGUCUUAGUUGCUUGUCCUAAGGGAUAGGCAGCUCCCGGUUUAAGAAAAUAGUUAUAGUUCCAGUCUUGCGUAUCCUACUAAAUCUAUAAGGAAUAAAGAGGUUAGCAGAAAAUAAUUUCAGAAAAAUUUGUAGUCUCUCUAACGUGUGGAGAACUUAGACUCUCUUGAUGUACCAACUAAUCCCAUAACAAGAACAAGAUCCUAAAGUAGGGACCAGAAGACUAUAACAUGUUGGUCAAGCUCAUCUAUUCGCUUUAUAGAUGCUAAGCCAUCAUCCAAUUAAUGUUCCCUGGUUCACCUGAAGGAAUGAUAUGGGAAGUUAAGACUUCAUCCAACUAAUGUUCUCCUGAAUCACCUGAAGGAAUGAAAUUGCUAGUUUUCCAAAUUCUAAAAAUCUUCUGAAGUGGCAAACACCAACUCACCUUGUUCAGAUAAUUUAAUUGUGUAAUGACACAUAUUGCAGCAACUGUGAUGAAAAACCAAGUCUGAGGAUAAGCCAUCUGGCUUAUCCCCUCCAACGUAAGCUUUAUUGCAAUUCCAAUCGCCUUUAUGCUCACAACCUGGAUAACACGUAAGAAAUAUUUUGAGACUAAUACAUAACAUGGCAGAGUAGAAAAUAUAAACAUGCAACCAUGGAAAGAAUUAUAACCAUGUACUCAAAGAGGAAAUGUACUUACUGUUAUUGAACCCAUUAAAGAACAAAUUCCCAAGUAAACCAAUACGUUUGUCUGGCCAUAGCGAGGUUCAAAGUGCAAAAUCAAAGCUAAAACUAAAGAAAGUGUAGCUGCCACAUAGAUUAGAAAGGCUGUACGUAAAAUAGAAAAGAAAAAAGUUAAACAAUUAUUCGAAAGAAAAAGAAUAUUAUUUAACCAAAAAAAAAAAAUUUUGAAUAGAGGGACAGAACCUGGUUGAGUUGCCAGAGUCCAGAUUUCUUCUAUAGAAUUUGGAGUGUGUUCUUGAGGUGCAUGAAUAACAAUCACGACUGAUCCCACAAUACAGGAGACACAUCCCACAACUCCCAAUUUCUGCAGUUUUUCCUUCAACAAGAAGUGUGCCAAAACAGCACUUCUCAGAUUCAUCAAAUGUGUUAGUGAGGAAAGGGGAAAAUGUUUUUUGGACUUAGUUGAUAAGAAAUUACCAUAUGUGACAAAUAAACCAAGGAAACAUCUAUAGUUACCUGAUAAUUAUACUCAAUGCACCAAGUGGAGUCACAAGAACAGCAGGAGCAUAAACAUAAGCCACAAAAUUUGCCACCUCCCCAACAAUCACUAUAUUUUCAAACAUUAGGAGAGGAUUAAUAUUUGGUAAUGUACGUCCUCAAGAAUUUUUCUUUUCGUUAAGAAGCAAGAAGACCAAGAGAAUGGGACAAGUACAAAUGGGAAGGAACUUGCAUUGGUAUUGCUAUACUUACUUGUCACCAUGCCUGCCCACCAAAGUGGCUCUUGUAAGUAGGUAUAACCUCCAACUCCUACACAAUUCAUUCGAAAAAGAAAAACUUCAAUUACAUGAACUCAACAAAUAUUUUCUAACUCAACAAUGAAUUCUUUUGCUAGACAACUAACUUGACAAAUAAUUGAGAAUAAAAAGACACUAGACAGAAAGAUCCUUUCAUUUCUUAAGAAGGAUAUCUUUUGUCAUCCUUUUUUUUUUUUUUUUGCUAAAAGGUGUUGGGAAGAAAACUAGUUGCCACCUAGUGGCCAACAUCAGAUUUCUCUUUUUUUCUAAAAAAAAAAAGAUUAAAACGAGCAUGAGAAUCUAGUCAUGAAAAUCUCUUCAGGAACCAGAGAAAACACUUUUGUUUUGUGUUUUACUACUCAAGCCAUGCAUCACAAUAAAAGAUUCAAAUAAUGAGUCAUCAGAAAAGAACAAUGAAGAAUUUGUUGUGUAAACAAAAUGAUACCCUACUAAAUUUCCUAAGCAGGAGAGACAUUAAAUAGAUCCAGCCACCAAACGGACUGUUGGAGAAGAAGAGAAAAUGAAAACAAUUGUAAGGACAAGGCAUGCUAUCAAUACUUUGAUUCGAUGCCAAAUUCCUUCUACCCUCCUUUGCCAAAUUCCUCUACUGAGCUCACCAAGAUUCAGCCAAACAAAAGUCAACACAAAACCACCAAAAUCAGUAAUCCUUUUUGUAACGCAACAUGACACGUCGCAUAAACUUUUUCCUACCAUUUUUCAUGAGCACAGUAUCUGCAAUUCACAAAAGCUUAGUUCAUCCCUGAAGAUCCUCAUCUUUGCAUAAGGAUAUCUAUUUCUCAACUCAAAAGUCAUUAAAAAUCUGUCGCACUCUGUAAUAUCAUCUAAGUAUAGCAACUACUAUUUGGUUCAAGGAUCUUUGCUUACUCCACUAAAAAUUGAGAAAUAUUCCAACAUACUUUCUAAUCGAACAGAAUCAGACUCAAAAUUCCAGCCCGAAUUCAGCAAAAUCGGCAACAAAAUCCAGUUAAACGCAACAAAAACUGGUAGUACAAUUCUCAAAUUCACAUUUCUUUGAGUUAUCCGAGUGAUUAGUCUAAAAUCUUACCGAGGAAUAAAAAAUUAAGGAGAAUAAAACCAAAUCAAGAAAUAAAACCUCAAAAGAUGAAUUAAAAAAAAUAAUAAUAAAAUCGCAAAAGAUAGGACUAACCUGCUCGAGCACCAGUGGCACCAGCUCGCUUGAGCCCUUUCUUCUUCAAAAUGAAACUCGAUCCUAUGAACGCGCUUGACGCUACGGCCAAAAUCAGGCCCUUGGAAUUCUCCGAUAAUCCCAUCCCUCGCUUCCCGUCUACUUUAUCCUUCUGUGCUUUACUACACACAUAUAAAUUGUCCCUGAAUAUUUAUGUACUCCCUACACAUGUAUGAAUCCCAGCUCAGGCCACUCUCUUGUUCGCCUACAAUCACAUGAACAUUGCUGUCGCACUUUCUUUUACUAUGGAGCACCUAUUCUAAAUGCGACAACAGUUUUCCCGCCAAAAGGAGACGGGAUUUCCGCGAGAACGAUAGCCAAAAAGAAUAGCACAAGACAACUAGUUGUCCCAGCAACGGCGACGUUUAGAGAGUCUCUUCGAAUUGUAGAGUUGUAGAGAGAGAGAGAGAGAGAGGAGAUCUCGGUACUCGUCAAAAUGAGGACUCAACUCAGUGGGUUGGUGCUUUGUCGGAAAAUUCCAAUUCCGCGUGGCUGGCCGCGGCAGUGAUCACGUGCGAAACCACAAUUUUUUCAAAAAUGAAAUCGGCUUCUUCCCCGCCGUUGAUCUCUGUUCAGACUUUUUGGGCUUCGGUUUUCGCGGAUGGAAAAUUUGGUGCACUUUGCGCGUUGGCUUCUGAUUUUGUUUUUUACCGAGUGGAUUUGGAUGGUUCAAGAGUUGAGAAAGAAGAAGGUCUGAGUGAAUGUCAGAAAUACCCUCGAGAGAGGGAGCUGUAACGUAAGAAGUUAGAAUAAAGAUUUAUACACACAAAUAAUUUAGAAUUUUGAACGAAACAAUUUCAAAUUUAUUUAUAUUUAUCGGUGGGGGGAGUUCGGCACGUGGGGACAACAUAAUGGAUGGGAAGGGUAAAAUGGUAAUUUAAAACGGCAACUUCACGUCACACAAAAGCUGGAAGCCAGCAAAUGCAGAAUAUGCACUACUUCCGCAGUUUUGUUUUUAUUAAAAAACGAAAUAACUUUUUUUAAAUUUAUACAAUGAAAUACACAAAAUAUAAGUAUAAAGCUAGUUUUCUAAUAAUAAAUUAUAUUAUAUUUUUUACUAAAAAAAUAACAAGCAACCGUUAAAGGAAAGCUCAUAAUUAAAAAAAAAAAAAAAAGGGAGCAAGACAAUGAAUGAGGACUACUAGUCCUAACGAGUUUAUUCAUAAGCAAGCUCUCUGUGUUAUAAUAACUUAUACAUAAAUUAUUAUAAUGGGUAUAUUCAUGAUCAAGUUUUCUCCUUAUAAUAUAUAAUUAAUAAUCUAAUAAAAAAUUAAAAUUUAAUAAUUUAUUAUAAAUAUUUAAUGAUUGAGCGGGCAAGUUCGAGAAGGGCAUGGAGCAAAUACAUGAUUUUUGUUUUAAUUAUUUAAUAUUGAUUAUAAUCAUUAAUUAGGUAAAUGAAAAGGUUUUGUGUAAUUAAUAAUCGAAAGACGUUUCACAAAAAAAAAAAAAAAAAAAAAAUGGAAAUCACAUUUCUCAAGUGGAUUCACAUCUUGUAUUAAGAUGUAAAAUGAAAGGCGUCUACAUUAUUAUAUAUAAUGUAUGGUAUAUUUGGUGCACCGAGAAACGAGACAAUCACUCAUUUUUUAUCAUGUGUUUAUAUAUAUAUAUAUAUAUGGAAAAAGUAAGUAAUAUAAAUAUGCAAAAUUAUCGGGUAAUUAAACAACUUUUGGAUUCAAGACUAAAAAAAAUUACAAGGACUAUGAGUUGUUAUAUUUGGACUUGAUCAUUUUAUUAUGUUGAUAUAAAUAUAAUACAAAUAAAAUAUUUUUACUAAUUAUAUAUAUAUAUAUAUAUAUAUAUCGGUGCACAGCGAAUUGGGUUCAGACAAAUCUUAGAAGAUUACGUACAAACCUGCCUUGACCCACCUUUACUUUUCUCAUCAAUCCGAAUUCCAUUCAAAUUUAAACCUACACUUUUCCGAAUUAUAUUUGAAAUGGUUUGAAUUUUACACAUUAAUUUUAAGAUUUUUGAACAAAAUAUCAUCUUAAUACGUAUACACGAUAUAUAUAUAUAUAUACAUACACAGAUGUGUGUGUGUGUGUGUGUACACACGUGUGUAAGUAUUUAUGUGUUCAUGCAUGUUGGAGAACGACGAAGGCGAUUUAAAUUUGUUAAAAUAGAAGACUGGAUUCAUUUGGGUUUGCUCGUAGGAGAGACUGGGUUUAAGACUAAAUGGGCCUUUUGAGCCCACAAACAAUUAGAAAUUAUACAAAUGUGAUUUAUUCCUUGAAAUUAAAUUAAUUAGUGUUGUGCAUCUGAUCUUUUUUUUAAAAUUUUAUUCUCAUAUUAAAUAUUUUUAUGUAAAAUUCAAUUCUAAUUUACAUAUAAUUACGACACGGACAAGACCAUUUAGGUUAACCCCACCUGGAGCUUCACCCAGUAUAUCUAGGUUCAAUGUACCGAAUCAGAUUUAAUCCCAUUCGUUGACCAGGUUGGCUGAACCAAACUGAAACCCUAACCCGAACGGGAGGCGGGCCAAGUCUAUCACCCACCAUGAUAUUUUCAAAACAGAGAAUUUUUUUAGAAGGAAAAAUCAAAAUACAACUUUUUUAUCCACAGAGUAGUACAUCUGAGCCACAUCACACUGCAAUGGCCUUAUCCACCACAAGCAUAAGAGCAUGGCAUUUAAGUAUAUGCCGGUUUUUGCCCUACCCUUCUUAUUCUCGGAGCCCACAAUUGUUGAUUUCACUCAUACUCAUGCAUAAAUUUUGUGUUUCGGAUAAAAAUCGUUUAUUUCUUCCGAAUGCCUGCCAAAUUCACUGAAUCACAAUUCACCCAAGCAUGAACAAAGCUUCUUUUAUACUCAUUAAUCGAGAUUAUGAAAGAUGGUCAAGCAAAUUGUAUACCAAUCAGAGAGUUAGCGAAGAAAAAGCAGUCACGAUAAAAGUAAACCUAUCUUAUUAAUGGCAGUUCAUUAGGAACACAUGAAGAUCUCAAGAACCACUAGACCCGACCCCCCCACGAAAAGCCAGUCACCUUUAUCAAUCCACCUCUGAGAAAAAAAAGAAAGGGAAAAUGACAGGACAUAAACAAAGGACUGGUAAUCGGAAAACGAAAUUUCAACCCCUAAGAAAUGUAGCGACUCCUUAAUGAUAUAGAUCGAUCGUCAACGAAGUGACUCCAGAUCCCCCAUUACUAUCUAAGAAAGUUGACCGCAAUCGGCUACGACAACGGGCUUCGAAGUCCUUCCGGAAGAGGAACCGACCUUCUCCGCAGACUUGAUCACGUCCAUGCCCUCAACAACUUGGCCGAACACGACGUGCUUCCCAUCGAGCCACUCCGUCUUCGCCACGCAGAUGAAGAACUGGGAUCCGUUAGUGCCAGGUCCGGCGUUGGCCAUGGAAAGGAUACCGGGACCGGUGUGCUUCUUGACGAAGUUCUCGUCAGCGAACUUUGCGCCGUAAAUCGACUCGCCUCCGGUGCCAUUUCCAGCGGUGAAGUCACCGCCCUGGCACAUGAAUCCGGGGAUCACGCGGUGGAAGGUCGAACCCUUGUAGUGGAGGGGCUUGCCCGAGCGGCCGACGCCCUUCUCGCCAGUGCAGAGAGCACGGAAGUUCUCCGCGGUUCUCGGCGUGGUAUCGGCGAAGAGCUCCAUCACGACGCGUCCAGCAGGCACACCGCCGAUGGUGAGAUCGAAAAAGACCUUAGGGUUAACCAUGGUUGCAGACCGUGAACUGAGAUUUGAGGAGAAAUGAGUUGUCCUACCGUUUCUCCUGCUGCUGGUGUUGGUGUUGUUGUUGUUGUUAGGGUUUUGGGAAGCGUGGGGGGAGUUUAUAUAGCGGAGGAAGCGGUGAAUAUCUGAGGGAGAGGAGGAUCGUGGCCGUCGAUUGAGGACGGGUGGAGAAAUCUCCAGUAUGGUUGAGAGAAACCGCGGUUGGGUUACGCUUGACCAGGGUUAAGAUUUGUGGGGAUCCGAGGCUGUGAUGGCACCAGUUCUGAUAUCGGUUAUCAGUCGACACUAGCAUAUGCUUUUGUCUUAUUUGGGGCUCACCGGGAAAUACUGAAACGACGCCGUUUUUCCACAAGAGUAAGAAGAAACUGUCGAAAAACUGAUGCCAGUUAAUGAGGUCAAGUACGACUAUCUUGGGGAUAAAUUUUAGUAUUACCGUUGGUGUUAAAUUUAUGGCAUUACUGUCAAAUCAGUAUUUUAACCCUUGAAUUAUAAUUUUCUAAAAAAAAAUCAUUAUUCAUGUUAAGCAUUAAUAUACUACAGUAAAAAUUUCCAGCUAAGAACAAUAUUGAAGUCAACUUUUUUUUAAGAUAAAGUAAUAGGCGGAUAACAAAAUUUUCUCUUUAAAAAUCUAAAUACAAGUGAGAAAAGUAACAUUACAUUUACCAUUUAACUGAGAAAUUUUUAUCCUUAUUAUUGGAGUCCAAUUGAGCUCACACAAGUCUGUUUGAAGGAUAUUUGGAAUAUUAAAUUUCAUGCUCAUAAGCAACUUUUAGAAACUGUUUAGUAACAUAAAAAUAAAAUAUUUAUUAAGUUGUUAGAAAUAAAUUUAUUUUAUAAAUUUCUUUGUCCACUCAACUAAUAAAAUAUUUAUAAUAAAUAUAAUUUUUUUUAAAAAUAAUUAAUAUGUUAAAGCUAACUCAAAACACCCUCCUAUCUCAAGCCCAUCUCUGUAGAGAAUCUCAAAAGCCUAGUUUCCCGUUUACCAGCUUAUCAUCCAUUUCUUUUUUUCUGUUUUUACCAAUAAGGUAACGUUAGAUAAACAUGUAUGUAUAUACAUGUAUAUAUAUUAUCUGAAUUUCUUUUAGAGCUGAGAAGUUUUUGCAGACAAUAUUACUUAGAAUAAUGCAAAAAUCAACCAGCAAGAAAGAAGCAUACGCUGGAGUGAUUUUAUUUGCUUACAAGAUCUUGGGAGUUUGUUAAUUUUCAACCCAGCGGAUUUAACGCACUAAAGAGUAGAUUUUCUUUUCUCACACGGCACUCUUGUUCUGUGCUAAAGCAAAAUCCAAAUUAGCGGAAAGAAGAAAAGAUCGGAGAGAUACUAUAAUUUUCCAUUAAUAAAACAACAAAAAAUGCUUUAUUUCAUGGCCUCAAAACAAAAAGUGCCUACAUUUUAAAGAUGCCCCAUUUGAGGUAAAGAGAACUCAACAAUAGUUGAAGCCAGAGGUUCACUACUAAAUAAUAAAACUAUUGUUUCAAAAAGUGGCACAGUCAAGGUACUUCCACCAAGUAAUUGAUUCUAAAUAUUACUAUUUUUUCAUUAAUUUAUUUAAAUGAGACAAUGGGACUGGUGACAUCCCUUCGGAAUUCAUUAGAAAAUGCAAAAUACUACCAAAUAAUCCAUUAUGGACGUGUACGGGGACAAAGAUGCUAAAGAGAUAAAAACAUCAUUCGGCUGCGUAGGGGGCGAAAAGAAGUUGCAGGCUAUAUUGAAUAGCCUGGCUUUAAAGUUAAAAAAAAAAGCUCAAUAAUUGGUCGAUUUCCUACUCUCUUGAUUGCCCGUUUCGUUAUUUUAGCUGUUUGGAGCAAGUCUUUUCAUGAGUAGUCAUGCUCCGUAUUCUUUACAGACAGCUAUAAGGCGGUCAGAUGCCUCUUGUCGGCAUAUAGCAAAUAAUAGAAACUGUUAAAAGCAAUUAUUAAAGAUUACGUUUGGAGUACACCAAGAAGUUCUGUAAAAUUUAUUUGUGAACUCAUUUAUAUUUUAACUAAAAAUGGUAAAUAUUUAAUCUUAUAUGAUCAAAUUAAACUUGUGAGAAUUCCACCGAGAUUACAACAAAUACAUUCAGAAUAUAUCACUGUUGAUGAAAUUUAAAACGUAUUACUAGAAAUUUCACAUGACCUUAUUUUUCAUAACCUCUUAAAAGAAAUUCCAUCCCUCCUAAUUGUAUUAUGUGCAAAGUUUCAAAUAAUUUCAUAAAAAAUUUUAUAUGCUACAAAAAUAAAACUGAUUAAAAUCUUAUGCUUGUGUUUCACUUGGCUGUGAAAGUUGAACAAUCAGUUCUGUUAUCACCAGUUUCCCCACAAUCCAACCUUCUUGGUGUUGUGGUUCUUGCUGGCUAGCAUAUCAAAUGAAUCUAAUCCAAGAACCUGAUUCACUGGUACAUGCAUCGUAAACUUACUCUUCCAACUGUUACUAUCUAGAAAUUUAAUCAUGGAUUAGGUACACUGUACUGGCAUAUCCAAGUACCAAACCAUAAUCAUGUGCCUGGGCACUAGAGAUUGUCCGUCAAAUGCAGACAAUCAAUGUGAAAACUAAUUAAACUCGUGACGACCUCCAUAACUUGGCAUUCUAAGUCACUAGACGUUUGGAAAUAGUAAAAAAAAAAUGGCUCCAAGAAAAUUUCGGUGCACUGAUGAGCAGAAUAAUAUUACAUAUUCACAUUUAUUUUCUUCCUCAUUUUGUGCAAGUAAGAUGUUAACUACACUUUGAAGAAUGUGGAUGACUUACUGCACUAAUGCAAAAGGAGUUUUAUAAUAACUCCUUUUCUAACAACAAUCCAGGGUAGACAAGUGACAUUACCUGCUUCAAGGAUCUCACAGAUGACUUUAAAAAAGCAUGCCCCUCCGUGGCUGCAAAAGAAAAGACCAGAAUUAUUAUAUGAACUUCAAAAUUUUAAUUGCAUGAUCAUAAGGAAUAUAGAAGGAUCAACACCUUUUAUUAAUAAUUUAGCUUCUUUUGAGAAGUCCUCCACACGACCUAAUACAGGUCUUAUCCCACAAAUCUGUAAAACACAAAGUUCCAAAUACAAAGCCAUCUCCAUCAUCUGAAGUAGUAAUAUACAGACGUACUGAACUCUGUGACUAAUUUGCUUCAAUUUUUUCCCCUCACAAAGCUCAGUUACAAUAGCAAUUGCUUGGUCCUGCACUCAUAACACCAAAAAGAUCAGAAAGGACAAAUACAUUGUGUUACUUUGAGUAAAUUACUCUUAAACUCUUCAGAUAUUAGAAAUUCUACAUAAAGAUAUACAUGCUACCAUCACCUGUAAGCCAUGUAAAAUCUCAGGCAUUGGAAGCUCAGGAAAAUGAGCAAGAUCAACAAAUCCCACAUCCUCUGCCCUCUUAGCAGCACCCUCAGCUUGUAGACAUAGAAAUUUCAAAAGAAGAAAUGCAAUUUUAUAGAUCUGCAAGGCAACAGAGUCUGAGAAGUAUGUUUGAGUAGCAGAGACUUCCGUAACUGGAUCCUUGACCGUCAGAGCAGUUGUGCUCGACUCAGAAGAGGACCUUGGCUGGGCAGCACAACCAGGGCAUGAGAGAGCAAACCAUCCAUUUCUGCUAUUGACAAACAAAGGUUCCAUACAGCAAUCAACCUCCUCCUUUGUAACAGGCGGAGAUAAGAGAGGGGCAGUCUUAUGGGAAGAUUCUGCAUAGCGUUGGGUUCCUCGGCUGAUGAAAGCUAAUAGAUGAAUACUGAUUUCUCUUAAAGGAGAAUCCAUGUCCUUCAUGGCCUUAACCCAGGAUCUCCAAUGUUUCGCUAGCACACACAUUAGCAUGAGAGUAUUCUCUGUUUCUUUGAGAGAACUUAGAGAAGUCUGUCUCCUCUGUAUGCGCUGUCUUUUCUUGUCAUGAUCAUUGGAUGGAAAGUCCGGUGCAGUGAGAUAAUAGGAAAUCAGGUGAGCUUUCUCUGAGAAAAAGAACACUAUCACUUUUUCCACAAUCUCAGCACACACAGAAGUGUCUCCUAAAGAAUGAAUUAUAGCUGUGACCACAGCCAAGCCAAGUCCCCAAAUAUGUUGAGGUUUUUCAGUUUUGUCCAAAGGAUUUUUCUCAUUAUUAAUAACUGAGGUAUCCCUCCCAUCUGAUAAAUCAGCAAACAACACUCUAAGAGAAGAGAGAAAACCAGCAUUGAGAAGCAUCUCAGCACCUCCUCUAACAUGUGCUAUAGUCAAAAAGAACUUCAGUAAUAUAGGAAUUGAUGCAACAGAAUUUUUAUCUUGAAGCUUCAGAAUAACAUGCUGCAAUUUUAGGUGUUGCUGUAUGAUGGGGAACCAAGUAUUAGGUGUCAAAAAUCUUCUCAGUAUUAUGUCCGCAGCAGUCAGGGAGAUGGUAGAAUACUCAGAAGUGCUAAUAAAGUCGGAGAUGAUGGGCAAUAGCCCAAGGCAUACAUUAGAAAUCUCAGGUGUGCCAUCCAGAGAUCCCAUAUCUGCCACCGCAUUUAAACCUGAGUUGAGGGAACCAAAUCUUACUGCCAAGAGAACCGACAUUAAUAUAAGCUUCUUUGUCUUUUUCACCCCAGUAACUGAAGGCUUGAAGGCACUCAGCACCUUAAGGCCAUAACUCAAGGUUCUUAACACUAGCGUGCAAACAGGUGCUGAAAGGCUUCCCUUAGCAGAUCUCAUGAGAUGGAGGAGUAGUUCUGUUUGUGCGGCCAGAAAAUCAAGCACAUCUUCAGAGGCAUAUAAAAGGGGAGCCAAUGAUUCCAUUACAUCAUGGAAACUUCGACAUAUGUUAUCAAUGCAUGAGAAUAAGACUUGGUCAGGGAUCCUCCUUCCAAUUGCUGUUCUUUUCUCCAGUGACUGCACCCAGCAGUUACAUGUGAAUUAAUACUGUAAACGAAUUAAGAUCAACUCCAAGAAAUGAAAGAACAAAAGCCAAUUGGUCUUUAGCUGAUGGUGGAAGCAAAAUAUGAAUGAUACAUCCGGAUAUAAGGCAUUUAUAGAACAUCAAACUAUGCUAAAUCCUCCUCUAUAUAUAGAUGUAUGACUUAAAAUACAGAAGAGUCAACAUUUAUUUUCCCCAUUUUAUUUAAGAAAUCACCAUGAGAAUAACAUUAAUCUGAAGGUAAAAAUCUAACCCAUUCAACAACUAUGGUGAUUUAUAAAUACCCAAACAAUAACAAGCCCAUCAAAGAUCACAAUAUAAGAGAACAAUAAAAGUUUAGAGAGCUUACAUCAUCUUCAUAUAUUAUCAGCACAGUUAGUAAUGAUUUUAGUGCAGAAAGCUUUGAUCUUGAAAGCAACACCAUUGAGUUUGCAUUUUGCAUGUAAUGCAGCAUUGUUUCUCCAGUUGCUUUAGAUGCCUUCCAAUGUGAAUAAUCCCACACAUCUAGUCCUAAAUCUGCUCGUAUAUGCUCAGUGUCAAACAAACGCGCAUCCAUUGCUCUUGCAAGGUCCCCAUCAUAUUUCUGCUCGUACUUCUGAAAAGGUUUUGACUCUGCCAGAAACUGGGAAAGUUCUUUAAAUGGUCCAGAACCUAUCUUACGACCUUGAAGUUCACCUUGUAUGUGAUAAUAAAGAUCAUUGAGAAUUAAAGUUUUCAGCUCCUUUCCUUCACUGAAUAGAAAACCCAAAGUAACAAAGAUACAGAAAGUAUCAGAACUAUUUCUUUAAAAAAAGAACUCAUGAAAACUGGUGAUUGAAAUAGCAUUUAUGUGGGGCAUUGCAUUCCAAAAACAAAUUAACAUGGUAAAGUCAACAAAAAAAAAUCCUUACAAAAGUCUUAUUUCAAUGUUCAUGUAGUGUGGAAGAAUUAACAGAAAUAUGAAAGGACAGACCGGUCAAUAAAAUGUAGAAGUCAAUGCACAACAAGAAUUUAGGACUGGAUGUGUGGAAUGCUGCCUCAUAAUGAGAAAAAGAAUUAAUUAACAUUAUCAGCACUCCUUGACAUAAUGACAUAAAAUCAGAAAAACCUAAUCAUGCAAGCAGGUCAACUACUAGAGUUGUCUCUUCCACUGUUAUAUAAAGAGCCUCAGAAGAUCUGUAAUACUUAGCACUAUCAAUCACAAUAUGUCCUUUUGCAAUUUUCAUAUUUUUUUUUAGAGGGAAAAUUUAAAACAUAUAAGCAAAUAGACAAGCUAAAACUGAUAACAUCUGUUUCCAUUGUAAUACCUAGUUAGUUAUGGAUGCUCAAGUUGUAAGAAUGCAGUGAAAAAAGGUUUCAUAAAACAUGUUACCUGUAACCAUACUUUGAGUAUUGAGCCAAUAGUUCAGAAAAAGCAGGCUGACUACUCAACUGUUAACAGAAACAUACAAGCAUACAGAAGAAUUAGAUAAUCAUCAAACAUUGAUAUUUAGAAAGGAAAUAGGAACAUUAUACCUCUUUAGAUACAAGAUGAAUUUUUUGAAGCAAUGACACAGACAAACAUCCUGCGUUUGUAGUUUCCAGCUUCCCAAUCAAAUGCACAGUGAGCAAACUAACAGCAACCUGAAGAAAUAGCAGAUAAACAUAAAGACAAGGACAGGAAAUGAAACAACUUUGCAAAAAGUUAAGUACUUCUGGUGCAAACAUGCCUUCACCAAGUACCCCAACAAACCCAGCAACACAAUAUUAAAAAUAACAUUAUUUAGUGAAAACAGUUCAACUGGAGAGAGAAACACCAGAGUCAAAUCAGAUGUGCAGCUCUAUCUUAGUUAACUUGGCACAACAAACUGCAAUUCUAUGAAGUUAAAUAUAUAUAUAUAUAUAUAUAUCCAAAAGGAGAAGUACCUGAACGCUAUAAUGUAUUCCAUUGUCAUAUUCACAGGAAACAUAUAACUUGAUCAGACCACUCAAGACUGAGCUAUCACACCAAUCUGAAAAAAUGUCUUUAGGAUCAACCGGAUUUACCGCCUUUGAUUUUGCAGAACUCACAGCAGUUUCUAUCCUCUCCUUUGGCUCAAUGGAUUCUUUUACAUGUGACUCAGCAAAUAACAACUUUUUGUCCAGGAACAUGUCAUAUGCCAAUAUUUCCAAUAUAGCAGACUGACACUGAUAUUUGUAUGGCAAGUUUGCCCAUUCUGCUUCAGUCAUACUUUCACAGGGGGAAAUUCUAGUAUUAUCAGUCUUUACAAUACAGUUAGACAAUUGUUUCCAGAACUUCUCAGAGCUCUUUAGCAACUCCAAUAUAUUCGCAUACUGACCAGCGCCUUGCCAUAAGGCCUUCAAGAAGUUAAGCAUACUCAGUAAUAAGCAUGCAUUGCUGGAGAAAAAUAAAACCUUUUAAUUAUUGUGCCACUGAAACAAGAAAAACAAAAGACCCCAAAUAAUCAUAAAAGAUCCAACAAAAAGCACUCGAGAAUACCUUUCUGAAAAUAUAUAUAUAUAUAUAUUUACACAGAAGUGACUACAUAAAGAAAUGGCAGAUCUGAUAUUGCAUAUGUAUAAUAUAAAAAAGAAAGAAACCAGAAGAGCUUCAGAUUAACAUACCUGUUGAUGAGAUCUUCAGAUCUUCCAACAAAUUGAAGAAGACCCUCUACCAGGCUAGAUAUCUUGGUUCUAUGUGGUCCAAGAGAAGCUUCACUUGUUGACCGCUUCACAUCUUUAGAAUUAGUUAGCUGGACAUCUGUAUCAUCUUUCGUUGCAAAGAUAGAAACAAGGAAAGCAGGCUGCAUAAACAAUUGCUGAUAAGAAAACACUUUCUCGAAAAUAUUGAUGGUACUAUUGAGAUUGCAUCAGAAAAUAAUAUGAUUCAAUUCAAUUCAGUAUGAGAAUGAAUCAAGAAUCAUAGGCAACAAUGUGAAUCGACAGUAAAUCACACAAACUGAAGAAUUCACUCAGUUUUAAAUAAAACUAAAUGUAAUAAAUAUGUAUAACUUAUUUUCAUUUACUCGAGGAUAAUAUAAGCCAUUGAACUUUGUCAUUUUGAAAACCCAAUUAUGUACAUAAUACUAGUUAAAAUUUCUUAUUUUUAAGGUUUUCUUAAGUUUUAUGAUAUCAUUCAUGACAAUAAAAUUUGACUCAUGCUUUAUGUCCUGAAUCAUAUUAUUCAACUCAAUUUAUGCUUCCCCAUUCACAAAAUCAAAUUUUGAAUUGAAGUUUAAAUCUUGACGUAAUUAGAAUAUUCUGAAGCUUAAACAGGCAGACUUAAAAAAUUUAAAGUUUGAAUAAAAAUGCAGGCACAGAACCGGGUGUCUUGAAACAAUGCACCUUCAGGCUAAAAGAAACUGAACUUCAAACUUUUGGAGAUCGGGGAGAUAAGAGUUUGCCCUCCCUAUUUUGAGUGGGUGCUCGCAAGGUCAAAGAACUUCAUUCUAUUCUUUCAUUAAUACAGGGGUAGGGGGAAUAAAGAGUUUAAGUGAUUUACACCUCGAAGUAGAGUGUGUAAAUACCGGAUGCAUAGGUUGAGUCAUUCGCUAAACAACUCUUUUGUUGGGCGAUCAACUAGGUGCUCCUACCCAAGCGGACUAAUGAAUGCCAACUGGAAGAACUCACUUUCCUAUCGUUCAGUAGGAGAUCCCUUCUUGUGGCUUGAAAAUGAUUACCUCUUGCUAAUGGGGAGAGUUCAUGUAACAGACAAUCCCCGAUUAGGAUAACAAAUCCGAGAGACAGUUUGAGGGAGAUGAAACAAGUGAGUAAAACAUCAAAAUCUUGUUACAAAAACAAAAUUCAAUAGCAAUGACCAUGAAGGUUACCCGAGCAGAGAAAAAGGGGGCAAUAGGAAAAGGCUGAAAAAUUUUAGUAUCUAAAUUGACAAUUAUCUGCGAAGCAAUUAAGCAACAGCAAUCCAAAUUUGUAUCUAUAGCGUGAAUAUACAGUUACCAACCUGAUAACAUGCAGCAGAAUUGAGCACAUUAACUAUGGCAACAAAUAGAUCUUCAUUCAACAGGGGCUGCUCAAGUAGAAUGCAGCAAAUAGAAUCACCUAACUCUGAUAUCUAAUAUCAAGUAGGUUAUCAGUACUUGUAGUAAAAAUAAUUAACAGAAGAAGCAAACUUAAAAGCUUAACACAAUGAAAGAAUAGGUAAAAAUAAUAUUCCAACCUGCUUAUCGUCAAGACCAAAACACAUAUUACUAGACAGAUAGGGAAGUGAAAAAUCUGCCACAGUCAGUAACACUGAGAGUACUUUAGCAGCACCAACCUGUAUUGCCUGCAUGGACAAUCAAUUUUUACUGCCUUUUGUUUUAAAUAAAUGUUCCCCCCUUCCCUUUGUUCUCCAACAAUAAAGACCUAUUCUCAUCACUGACCAACAUGCAUAAAGCCUAAAUAGUCACCAAGUGAUGAACUCAAGCAUUAUAUCAAACUUCUGAGAGUAUAAUGGAAUGAAAAUACUCAAGUGGGACAGAGGCAGAACAACAAGAGCAAAAACGUAACUGCAGGAUGCACAUAUCAACUUCCUAACAAGAUGGGGCCGAGCCAACAGAAUAAAAAAUCUUAACAAAGGAGUAGGUUAAACUACAGUUGUGGAAUUAUCUGAUUAGGAAAAUAUGAACUUAACUGAACUUCGGUUAAUCACAUAAUAGUGCAGAAAGCCUUUCAUAUUAUUUGAAGACAACCAAGGGAGAUUGAUUAAUCAGUAAAAUAUGUUUAAACUCAAUAAAGGUAACUUCAGGUCCAACUGUAGCUUAAACACUUACAGGAUCUUUAGAAUAUGACAUCAGUGAUGCUACAGCUGCAAUAACAGGGAUCGGUUUGGUUGUAGAUGACAACACAGCUUGGUGAAAGACAGGAAGGCUUGAUGAUAUAUCCUGAAUAUUUGACACAGCAAAAAGUUAAUUUAUGCAUUUCACCAAAAGAAACAAAAAAAGGGACAAGAGGUGGGCCAAUUCUGCAAAAAAUAACAGCACACAUAUCCAAAUCUGACAUGGGUGACCAAGAAAAUAUUAAGGAAAUGAUUGUUGAGCAGUAAAAUAGACGAGUUUGCAAAAGGAUAUGAAUUUGAUCCACAAGAAAAGAACAAGAAUAAAAAGUAAACCUUAAGUUUCAGAUAUGGUUUCUAAUGAUCCUUACAGCUAACCUAGUUAUGAAAACAAUGGAUCCAAUAGUAGUGAUCAUGAGAAUAGUGAACGUGCAUUUAAACAGAACAAAGAACUAACGACAUGCUACUACAAAAAAAUCUUCAACAUUUGUAUGUCUAUCACACUCCAGUUCUCAGUAUACUACAGAAGUUACCUUGGAGAAUUUAGAGAGCAUUAUGUUAAAAAUAUCCAAUACAGAAGCUAUUGCAAGUUGCCAACCCUCAAUUUCCUUCAAUUCGAAGAGCCGACUGACAUAAAGUUUCUGGCAAAAUGUGUGCUAAAAUCAGGAACGGAACAAAGAUAACGAGCAUACUUAAAUUAUGAUUAUCAGUAAAAACAAUCUAUGGCAUGGCUGACCUCUAAGGUUUGUGUGGUUGUACAAACAAUUCGGAACAAUGUGCCAUGGAUGGAAGAAUUAUUAAGUAGAAUGUCCCGGACAACCUCACCCAGUUUCUCAGAGUAGGAAGAUGACAUAAUUAACACUUUCAUGACUUCAAGCACCUAAAAGAAAGCAAAAACAUGGUCAGAGAAAUUUUAGAAAUAUCUUACCUCAAUAAGUUCCUAGAGUAGACUAUGUCAAGAACAUAUGUUUGUCAUGAGAAGAUAUAAAAACCAGAAAGUUAAUACUAACCUAGCAUGCAGGCAACAGGACUUAGCUGCAUCCAUGUGCAUUUUCAAGACCAAAUUCUAGACACAAGAACUGCUGGAAGCUAGUCUUCAAAUGGACCGUCCCAAAUCAAUUCAAUAAUCAAGAAAUGUGCUGAAGGGGAUUGAACCAUGGAAGAACGCAGUCGAAAUAAAUUCAAGAAUUUGCAAAUGUAAUUUUAAAAAAAAAAAAAAAAAAGAUUAUAUAAAGGCUGAAAAACUUAGCUCCUUCGAUGUCUUUGUGGAUAGAUGAGAGCAAUCCUUACCUUUCUGGCAUUAUUGUUUUAUGUGGGGAUGAACCUACAAGAGUAUGACUCCAAAAGCUAUCUUCUAUUGCUAGUAGGUGCUUAUGACGGAGAGAUUUGCCACAAGAUUGUGAAGAGGAAAGAUGAACUCGAACAUGGAGGACUGGGUAGGGUCGAAAACUAAGGUUAUGUUUGGAACAAAUUUAGGAUUUUGAAGAAUUUAUAUGCAAAUGGCGAAAUAAAAUGACAAAAUUACCCUGGGGUUGCUUCUUCGUUGAGGAACUAGGAGUAAGCAUGGGAAAGAAUGUAAUGAUUGGAAACUUGAUAAGGAGCUGAAAGAUCUUGGUUGUUAAGUGUUUUUCGUUGUCAGAAAUAGAAAAAUGCUAAAUCAUCUUCUGUUGUGGUGCCUAUAGAGUAGACAAGAUUGAAAAAGCCCUCUAUUCCCUUGAUGAGGGUUUCUUGGGAGAAGGGAGUUCGUUGAGAAAAGUAGUGUUGGUUAGCAUUUUUGCUACUAGAGAACAAACGAAUUUCUGCUUGGUUCUUUUGUUAAUUCUUUUUGGCAUUUUGGAAAGAAAGAGAUACAAAAAAAGUUGAAGCAGAAGAAAGUUAGAAAACGUGUAGUGCUACAAGGACCAAAAGGAUGGAAUCCGUAUGCAAAAACUUUACAAGCCUAUCAACAUAUUAAUCAAGCCCCUUAAAUCCUCACUAGUAUAAAGAUGAUCUGAAUAUAUAUUUGAACUUGAGCAGCAUUCUCGUGAUCCUUAAUGAUUGACACUUUUUUCAUUAUUAAGAAAAUGUAUAUGAGCAUGCAACCACUGUCAAAGCCCAAAGCACAAACUAUACACUUGGGAGCAGGCACAUUUGUUACUGCAAUAAGCAAGGUAUACUAAAAAAGAGACUGGCAAGUACCAUCACUUUUGUUGCUAAGUUACCUCUGGAAGUAUAAAUGAAACAAUUACAGAAAACCAAAUAGUAAGCAGCUGAUGAAAAUCCAAGCAAACCUUUAGUGUUACUCUCCAACGAGCAUACUUCUCCUUGUAUUUCCAGUACUCAUGACUAACUAGAAUAUACUGCAGUGAGAAAACAACUAAUGCCACAACAAAAUCAUUUUCUACUCCUGUCUCCACAAGCUGCAAGGUGAAGUCCAGUACUGCAACAAAUCAUAACACGUGCCCAUCAGGAUCACAACAAAUAUACUAAUGCAUUAGAUAAUCAAUUCAACACUAACUUCAAUAGCAUCGGACCUGUCACUAUCUAGUACUAUGUUAAUCAAAUGAAAAUUUAUAAACAGCUAAAUAGAACACAUCUCAAUGAUCGCCUUCCCCAUCCUAUGUCUCCAUACAGAACUUAGUUUUGAUUGUAACCCAGGUUAGGUCUAAUAAAUAUAAGCAGUACACUCAAUGUGCAGAAACUCGUAUUUUGAUUUUUUUUAAAAAUUGUAUUAUUUCCUUUAAUCAGCAGGGAUAUCACCAUCACAUUCAAUAAGAUAUUUCCAAAUCAUGCAUGUAGUGCUCAAUUGAGUUUCACCGACAUAGAUCUGCAGUAUCUUACACAUCCAACUAUUGCAACUAGAAACAAAAGAAUUAGAGUGCCUGUUUCUGAAAGCAGAUCAGAUAGGAGCAAAAAAGAGAUCAAAAUAUGGCUGAAGAAACAUUUACACAGAAGAAAUGCGAUGAAUCCAGAGGUGACAAAAGCAGAGGACGGAUAACUUUUUGUAGAUUUUCAAUCUUUCAGAUAAAUGCAAAAUACUAGUACACUUCUUCAAGCUAGUAAAAGUAAAAACAAGCUUGAAAUGUAAGCUAACUGAUAUGUAACUUCUUUUGUACAUCGGUUUGCACCUCCUUGAUUCAAGUAAUUAAAGAUACACAUCACACCUUUUAUUUCAAAAAAAAAAAAAGGAAAAUAAGCUUGAAAAUUUUUAUAUCCCUAGGAAGCAACUGAGAAAAAAAGCAAUAAUGAUGGCCAGAUGCAAAAAUCAACUACUAAGAAUACCUGAGAUAACAAGGAGACGAUCAUAAUCAUUCUUCUCACAGUCAAUUAACAGCAUCUUUGCCAGUUUCCCGAAAAGCAACCAUGAUUCACUAGAAAGAACAAACCCACAGGAAUUAAAAGAAUAGCACAUCAACAGAAAGUCAAACCACUUAACUCAACGAGAACGCUUGGCACAAUCAGCGAAAAAGAGGAACUCUUUGCUGCCACCAGUUUCAAUUAAAUUCACAAAGAUGAACCAAGCAACCCAACCAUGAAAGUGAUGAUAGUGAGAAUUAAGCAUGUGAAAGAGAGGGAAAAUACAGACAAAAAGAAUGGAGACUCAGACAACAAGAAUGGAAAAGCAAUUUCAAUUUAAUAAGCGGCAUAAAAGGCAAUGUAGAAACAGCAGUUCUGAAUCAGAUAAAAAGAAGGAAAGCAAAUCCAUUGUGCAUAAAGCAUGAAAUUAACCUUGAUGAAACAUUAUGGAGACUCAUUGUUGUAGUCAUGUUAAAUAGAUUAGCCUUUAAAGCCACGGCAACAACAUGAGAUGGACAACUGCCAAAAGGAGUUGUUAGUUAAGUGCCAUAACUCUUAUAUAUAGAUUUUCAUUUGUAAGUACAGAACCAAAGGAAAUUACAGAAACAAUGCUGUAACAAAAGUCCAUAUAUUUAAAUAUAACAAUGCAAAAGGAGACAACUGCUGAAUCUCUACACAGAACAAAUAUUACCAUCUUAACAUCUUUGCCAAAAUAUCAACACCCAUGGACAAUAGAGCAGCACCACUAGGAUUAGGAGACAAAUUUCUGAAUAAAGAGCCAAUAAUCUCAACCACCCUGUCUCAAAAACCAAGCCAAAACAUACAUUUUUAAACUUAUGGAGAAAGAAAAUAUUAUUAAACUCAGAAAAGAAGGAAAAAAGAAGGAAAAACAUGCUCAAAUUUGUUACCAUGCAGUACUUUCCACCUGACUGGUAAUGGCAGUUUCAUGGACAUGUAAGGAGUUGCCAAUGUCCAAGAGAGCAAAACAUACAGCCUGCACUUAAUUCAUUGAUGAAAACUUCAGUCAGAAAAGAACGAGCUUAAGUCCAGGGCUUAAUUUUCAAUAUCCUUCCUCCCCAAAAAAAAAAAAAAAAAAAAAUCAGAAGAAGAAUGAGUUCCAGGAACAAUAGAACAGGACUUGUAACAGAGAAUAGAUUUUGUUAGAUAAGACAAGUUCUUUAUUAGCUUUUGUAUUCAUUUAUGGAAAAUUGUAAAACUAUAUUUAAAGUCACAUGAGACUCAUGUUGAGCAUUAAAGUAACAUAUAUACCAUAUUGUCUAAUAGUGAAAACAUCCAGGUAGUCAAUUUUUACAAAAAGAAAUUACUUAAUUUUUAUUUUGAAAUAAAUCAAACAAGAACAGGUAAAACUGCAAUUUGCCAAAAAAAAAAACCUUUACAAGAGAUCGAGGGGUGAGGCUACAGACAAAAGGUAACUUUCAUGAGGUCAACAAGCUUUCCUUGUAAUAAGAGACAACAAUUGCAACUUUCUAGAUUACGUUUACCUUGCUAAAGGACACCAUCCGAGCUAGAAGAUCAAGAAUCGCAAGAACUUCCCGCUUAUCAUCUGAAUAAACCCCCAUGGAAAGACGAUGGAGCAAAACAAGCACUGCAGAUUGUGCGUACUACCAAUAAAGAAUAUCAGAAAGCAUCUUAGCACAGAAAUCAGCAAGCAUAAUUCCAGAAUAAAAUGCCAUCAAAUUGUACUCUUUUGAUUGCUACAAUUAGCCACCAAAUUGUACUCUUUUGAUUGCGACAAUUAGCCAUCAAAUUCUACUCUUUUAAUUCUAUUACCUCCCACCGAACAAGAGCAGUACUUCCACCAACAAUUUUCAGAACAUGUCCACGAGUUCUACUCGGAAUGAGUAAACCUUCAACUCCAGGCACAUGCAAUGCCAAGCGAGUCUCAACAAUUUCGGAGAUGUUAUUCAACAAGGAAUCAUUAGUAACCUCAAACAAGGUUGAUAUACCGACCGACUUAUCUAGAAAAUUAUAUCUGUUCAUAGGAAAAAGAUUCCAACAUGUAAGAGGACUCAAAAGUAAUUGAAUUAAACACUAACCCUCAAAAGGUAUCAGGUGGAAAAAACAACUCGCUUUAGGUUAAAUUUCUAAAAUACUUUAUUUCAAAGAAAAAAAAAAGCUUCAAUAUCUAAAAUACAUACAGAUAUAAAUAACACCCAAAAACAGCUAAACCAAGAACAGAUGACUUUGCUUUCUAUACUUACUGUCAAACAACAUUCACUGCUUGAAACCUGAAAGGCUAACAGCAUAAAGCUGGUUUGUUGUUUUUUCUUUUGGCGAGCUAGUUUAGUGUCACAUAAAAUUGUUGGGAUGAAAAUUUCACUUAGCAGAAUACAAAGAACAUAUGGAAAUAAACCACUGGAGCUAAAUCAUUACAACAAAAAAGAAAUUGCACUGUUCAUUAUAAUUCUGAUAUUUUAGGCAAUUACAGCAAGGGCCACCAAGUUUCCCCAAGAAGCAUGAUUUAAUAAAUAGAAACCAGGGCUUUGUAAGAGUUUAUUCCAGAAUAACAAUUACUAUGCAGGGGACAGUCACAGAAUGGCAACCUAAAUCAUACAGGCAUCCAAAUGGAUGCACAUGCCCUAGUUGAAGAUUUCUAGUCUGAAAAACAGGGAGAGAAACUACACUGGUCAGCACAAGAUGCACAAAGCACAAGCAACUGCUAAAGAGCAUCAUUGUUAAUCUUGAGAGGAUACAUGACUCAACAAGACUUCAGAAGCAUUGGUUACCAUCCACCUCUCUGUGUUGUUCUCGGCCAUCAACAGAAUAUUCACAGUCAAAUGAUCCUGAUAGGAAGAUUCUCUCAAAUAUUGACUUCCUAUCAGCAGUUAGAAUCAUUGUUUAAUAGGAUUUGCACUUUCGCACUUUCGUGCUGAAAGAACUCUAAGACCACCAGAUCAAAAUCCUUUUCAUUUUUAUCACAUGCUUCUAUCAGAUAAUUUUCCAUGUCAAUGACUCAAUUCUCCCUAUAAUAGAAUGAAGAAAGUGCAAGUGGGCAGCACGUGCAAGUUCAUUGGUAUGCAUGAAUAUAUACAGAGCAAUAUGUGCUGAAAAGAUAUGAAUCAAGAACAAUAUGGAUCCUCCAAUAGCUGACUCAAUAAUGAGCAACAAUCAAGACAAUAAAGAGCAUAUUGGGAUUACCCAGCUACAAAGGAAGAUAAAAUUAUGGGUAAAGUUGGGAACAGAACAAAAACUAAUUCCCAUGCAAAUAUUACAAUUACGCAAAUAUUUUAGCUAUACACUUCAUAUUAGGUGAUGUAGUGUCCAUCAUACGUAAGCAGACAUAAGGAUCUACUAUCAGGACCGCGUGAAAUGUGUGGCUGACCAGGCGAAAUGUGUGGCCGGGGUGUCACUGGGGAGAUGUAGGGAUUUUUUAAUCUUAAUUGUUUUUGUCUCUUCUGUUCCUACUAGAAGGAAAUAAACAGGGCAAAGAGAAAUUGAGGGAAUAUAGAAAAAAACGAGAAGUCUGAUAGAAAUCACAGCUUUCUCUCUCUACAAAAAUUCCACCUUUCUCUUUUAUAUUUUCAACCAUUUUUGUCCCUAAGUAUGCUCUUUUCUUCUCCUAAGAUCCUUUCUACUUCUGCUGCAACUCUUCUUCUCCCUUAAUUUCUUCACAAAUCAGGCCAGGUUCCUAACAACUUGGUACCAGAGCCGUUCCUACCUUGGUGAUUAUGCUUCCUCCUUUUGCGUCUUCCUUCUAAUUGCUUUUCUUUCCUCUCCAGUUUCUCCUCCCUCUAUUUCUGGUCUAAUAUACUUCAAUAAAAAAAAUAAUGAACGCAAGAUCAAAUUUCCAAAAUGAUUGGUGGGAAGAGAGCAGAUGCAGGUGGGAGGACCUAAUCGGGGAGUUGAAGAGCACGCUGCAAACAAGCUGCAUUUUUUCCCUCUGUCUACACCAGUUUCGUCCAGCAUGAAUUUCUGAGGCUGGACAGAGCUUCAAUUGGAGCAGGAAGCGGCUCCACAAAAGAGGUUCAACAAUAAUAGGAGUCGAGUGAAGGACGUUUGAGUAUAUGUCAAAUAUCAUAUUUACAAAUCAGUAUCAUUCUAAAUUGGUAAGCAGGUCUGAAGAAAAUGGGCAGAUCAUGUUGGUUGACUAGCUUCAGGUUAACAUGAAUCCUUGAGGACAAGGAUUAUUUUGAUGGAGGGACUAAUGUCAGAACUAGGUGAAAUUAUGGCUGACCAGGUGAAAUAUAUGGCUGAGGUGUCAUUGGGGAGUAAUAGGGAUUGUUUAAUUUGUUUUUGUCUCUUUUAUUCCUACUAGAAUGAAAUAAAUAGUGCAGAGGGAAAUUGAGGGAAAAUAGAAAAAACAAGAAGUCUAAUAAAAAUCACAGCUUUUCUCUCUACACAAUUCCUCCUUUCUCUUCUAUAUUUNNNNNNNNNNNNNNNNNNNNNNNNNNNNNNNNNNNNNNNNNNNNNNNNNNNNNNNNNNNNNNNNNNNNNNNNNNNNNNNNNNNNNNNNNNNNNNNNNNNNNNNNNNNNNNNNNNNNNNNNNNNNNNNNNNNNNNNNNNNNNNNNNNNNNNNNNNNNNNNNNNNNNNNNNNNNNNNNNNNNNNNNNNNNNNNNNNNNNNNNNNNNNNNNNNNNNCCAGGUCCAAACAUCUACCUAUAUGAGCUGUAAGAUUGAGCAUGUAAAUUGUGCCACUCUCUGAAAGUAAUCAUAAGUAGCAUCUAAACUGGUAUACUGCAGAAGAUUCAUCAGGAGCAAAGUGAUUCAACAAAAACACAGAGUUUGCCCCCAAAAAAAAAUACACAAAGAUAGAUCUUAAGUGUCAUAAUCAAGAAACCAGAAAAAUGCGUGUGGAAAACAGAAAACCACCAAGCAUAACAACAAUGAUUCAAAAGAGAAUGCAUUUUCUACAUUGCAAGACCGAUAUUGCAUUGAGGCUCUUUAUUCUUCAGUUAACUUUUCAUUUAUAAACAACAUUAAGGGACAGACUUUGAAGAUUUUAUCUUGCAUACCACACGAGUAUACCAUUGAGGCUAUUAGAGAAACCUAAAGCAUUAUUAUAUAAACUUCACUUACGUGCAUUCUGUGGGCCAACUUCCUUCACACAGUGAUGAUAAAAGGCAAAUAAGUUCAAUGAUCCUAAGAGGAAAUUCACACUCUAAGUUGUAGAGAAGACAACGAAUAGGACCAUCAAUAAAACUUUCGCGAUCCCAAAACUGAGUACAAAGUGACUCCUGAAAAAUUGAUUGGCAAAUAUGUCUAAUUAAACAGAAGCAUGAACACUGAAGAAAAUUGGAAACCAUGAAGAUUAACCACUAUAUUACGAACCUCUCCUCGAUAAAUCUUGCAAAGAAUAUCCAGUAUCAAGUUAAGGGUAUUAUCCUCCAUCUGCAUCAUGGUCAAAGUGACAUCACUAAGAUGGCAAUUCAUUGAAUCCCUUACAAGCUACUCCAAAGAUUCCAUAAACACAGUUACCUGAAGAUUAAUCUCAUAAGAUGCAAUGAAUGCAGAGAUAAAUGUUCUCAAAACACUUCGAUAACCAGCAGCAGGUCCCUGUAAAACACGGGAGGAAAAAAUUCAGAAGAAACCUUCAGCUGGGUAUCUUUUGCCUCAAAACAUUCCCAUUAAUGGGGAUAACUAUCAGGAAGCAUCUCAGCAAAAACCCAUCGCUUGUUUGACUGGUAUUCCGCACUUUCCGCAUUACUCCAACAGUCAAAACAGCUUCUAUCCAUGCAAUAGCAGUAAUCCUCCUAAUCCCACUGUCACUUCUUCAAAGAGUGAAGAAGAGGCUAUGGGCUUGGCUUUUUCUUUCUAUAUAAAAAUAGUUAGGUAGGUAGGGAGAGAGAAUUUGUGUAAAUUGACAAUAGAAAGAUAAACAAGAUUUGGUCUAUCUCAGACGGUUCAAGAAAUAAUAUUUUACUAUCAGAUUGAUAGUCACCGAAAAAAAAAAAAAGAACAAAAAACUUAGAAAAACUUACUACUUACAUCAGAUUCCUUCAAAAUGUCACUUUGAAGAAUUUCCUGGAAAUAGCUCAAUGAAGCGGCUUCAAAAGCUUGGCGGACAUAAGCAACAUGAUCGAUCUCCUACAAUGUAAAUGAAAAUAAAAGCACUUCCAAAAUGAUCAUAUGCAGAGAUUUGAAUAUAGAAUCCAGAAAGAACCACAUACCAUCAGUACAUAAUUUUCUUCCUUCCCAGGAAGUGAUGAAAUUAGACAAAGAAACACUGCCCAAGCAAGGAUAAGAGAUCCGGCUUCUUUCAUUUGGAAAACAUCAUAGCUAGAGAUUAGUGCAUCCAUCUCCUGGAUAUCACUCAUUGAAAAGUUAAAAGUGCCACGCCUGAGAAUUGGCAACCACGAAUGAGGAAAGCAUUAACUUUUAAAAGCAUUUUUUUUUUACAAAAACCAUCAUUGCUGAUAAUAUCAGCAGAAAAUUUAAAAAAAAAAACACAACCACCAAAUUAUCAAAUCGAUAAUUCUUUAGAUACCAUAUUGAACACUAUAACACAUGUUAGAAAGAUGCAGAGCCGUAAGAAACAGAAGAUGAGAAGCAGAAAGAAAACAAACAUAAGCCUAAGAUUACUUCUUUUUCCCUCUACUAAGAACAACCUGAACCACCUGAGAUGCCUAUUAAACCACACCUACAUGCAUGGUUCCGCUGAAAAUAGUCAAUGUCCCACUUUAGAAUGAACAGACUCCGGACAACAAACAUGUCAAACACCUACAGCUACUUUUUUGGAAAUAACAAACAAAGCUACUUAGAACAAAGAACACUUGGAACCAAGGCUUUCCUCUGCUCCAGUCUCAAAGAGAAGAGCUAUAAUUUGUAAAUCAGCUCAAGUAAUUCUUUAAGAAAAACUAAAUCAGCUUAUUUUUAAAACUAAUGAUUCCCUCCUCUCCUACAUCAAAGUUGUCUCAAGAUGCAUGGGGUCAAUUUAGAUCAGCCAGUUUUUGGCUCCUGGGGCAUAAUAUUUCCUGACUAUUUUCUAGCAAGUUUGAACAUAAAUAGCUCAAUUAAUAAGUACUUUUAAGUCAAGCUCAUUUAUUCAUAACAAGUGAGCUGAGCCAAUUUGUGUUGUGAAAAUAUCCAUCAAACACGUGAACCUUUACAAAUUUCUUUUACGUCAUGGGAUUGUUUCAAGUUGUUCACAAGUGAUGUAUUUUGAUGCAUGAAUUUCAUCAAGCACAUGCGUAGAUAUCAACCCUAACAAAUAUAAGCCUAAUUUACAAGACGAUCCUCAGCAUGUUUUUGAAACAUAUUCCCCUUUCCUCUAAAAAUUGUGGAAUGAUGAGCAUAAUGCAGCACAUGCUAUGGCACAUACAAUUAGACAGAGCACAAUAGAUCAAAUGCACAAUGAAGAUUGAAAAACCAGCUUCAUUCUUAGAUACAAUUAAAUGCCUUCAUUCUUAGAUACUAUUAAAUGGAGUUUAGAAAAAAUGUGCUACAGCCUACAAUUCAGAUUCCUGUCCCUGUAAUAUAUGGGAACAAUCUAUACAUGGGAAUAGAAGCUUAACAUAAUGUAUGGCACAGUUCGUAUGUAAAAUGAUCAAACCAGUUUAAUUAACCAAGAUGUCAUCAGUUCAAUCAGUUCUCAUUUCAAGCAUGAGACAAGUGCCCAAACAUUAGGAAACUUGAGGCACGAGACACCUGCCAAUUGUUCGAUGCACUUGAGACCUCAGAAACAAUUAAAUGAGAGAAUUUACACUUGAUAAUUCAAUUUUGAUGCACAAUAGGCUUGAACACAUCACAUUCACGAAAGGCUACAAUCAAAAACUAUAAUGCUAAAGUAUAUAAUAUAUUCUCUUAUAUAAAAAAAAGUUCAAACUUUCUACAAUAUCUUUCGAUACAAAUAAAUGUAACAAGCAGCUAGUGAAAACCUGAAAGGAAUUUCGUCAUGAACCAUUUGAAGAAGACUUUCCAGGUCCAGAGUUUCAAUAAGGAUAAGUAGCAGCUGAAUUUUGGCAUGACAACAAGAACUUUGUGCUUCACUUGAUACUGCCAGUUUCUCAAAGUUGGAAGACCCUGAUAAAAUUCCCUGUAGUGUGAUGUUUAUGAGCAAAACUCAAUCAAAGACAACAUGGAACCAGUAUUUGCAUGUAAAUCUACCUUGUAGAGUGCGCACAACUUUUUCCAUCUUUCACCACUACAAGUACGAAAUGACUCAUAAUAUAUAAGGAAAAGAAUGUCCAAAACCAAAUUAUCUUCAAUCAGUGUCUCCUCCGCCCACAAAGUAAACAGAUCCACAUCCUACAAAAUAAUCCGCGCAUUGCAAAAUAGAAGUUUAUAGCUUCAACAUGAUAAUGUACAGAAUACAUAAACCCCAUGAUCAAGCUCUUACAUGUUAUAAUUAUUUUGUUAUUAGACAUCAAUCAUAAAAAAAUAAAAAGGUUAAAAGUAAAUAUCCCUGUCAAGCAUACCAUCUGCUCUGGAGGAGUGGAUGACAGAAGGUCCUCGAGGACAGAUAUUAAUUUACUUUCAAGCCCAUCAGAAAUAAGCUUCAGUGCCUCCUGCAUAACAGCACUGCCUUCUUUCAAGCUAGUUCCAAGAUAUACUGCAUCAAAAGUGAAAAUAUCGGCAAAAAAAAAUUAAGAUUCUAAAAGAACACACCACAGUAUCCGCUUUCAGAAUAUCAACAUCCACAGUCAUAAAAAAAUAGCAUUAAAUUUAAAAUUAAAAGAAAACCAGAAUAGAACAGCUGCACAAUAAACUUACAUGCAUGCAUGAGAAUCCGCCGGGUACAUUUCAGCAGGCACUGUCGCUCAAUGUAAUAUUGAAGUAAUGUCUUCAUAACAACGGUGAAAUGAACAGCAUAUGGAAAAGGGGGUGAGUUAGAUAACUAGUAGAUGGAAAUCUAUGUUAAGUAAUUGACGCCAAACAACUACCAUGGCCAGAACAUUGUCAUCAAGGUCAGCCAGAGAGGCAUAUAUCAAGAAAGAGAAAUCAACAUGUGCAUGUGUCUGUGAUUGUUGCAGUAAAUCUUGAAGGUGAAAAAGCAAAGCAGCAUUUGAGCAGAAAUCCAGAAACUAGCAUGACAAAGUAAGGCAAAACCUCCAAGAUGGUAAAGCAUGGGUCAUUGUCUGUGUGAUUAGUAAGUAAUGCUUCAAGGUGAAAAAGUCAAGAAAAUAGUUUAAGCAAAAUUCUGAAACUAGCAGGGGAGAAGAAAAGACAAGACAUCCAGGAGAAUGAACAUUUGAAUGUCAAGUUAUAUGCGUAUAAAACUGGAAUGAGUGAAGUCCUAAUUAUGAAUCAUCUAAAAAAUCAACUGUACUCACACUAUCUCAAUGUGUCCUCAUAUAUACAAGAUUAAAAUUAUGUACCUUAAAAACUCUAACAUCCUACAGUCCCCAAAACAACUAAAAAAUGCCUUUCGUGAGGUACAGAAGAUUGAACGUGGGAAUCGAAGCAAGCUACUGACCACAUGGACAAACUCUUGCACAAAAGAACUGGCAGCUGCAUGACUGGAUUCCAGCGACCUCUCCAGAAGAAUGUAUGACUGCACUUCAUCUAAAUUCUGGAAAACAAUCGAGUAAAUGCAACAACCAGAUAUUCAUACUUCCAUUUUGCACCAAAAAAAUAAAAUAAAAUAUGACAAUGCAUAUUUUUCACACUUAAUUCUCCAGGCUAUUCCAGCACAAAGAAGCAUCAUUCUUCAAACUUACUACCUUCGUUGCACAAUUAUCAAGUAAUUGUUAGACAAGUUCCAAUACAAAAAUUAUUGUAGCGCAUAUCAAGGACGAAAAGCUGACAAGUUAUCGAGCAAAACUAAAAAGACUAACCAAAUACAAACUGGAUUUGAAGAGCCUUCUCUUUCAAUUCCGGGCUGUAUGUUCAAUUCAUGAGACCCGAUCUUCACUUUCUGUGAAUUCAAUGCCUCUUUCGACUUUUGAUUCGGUGGCUUGAACAAAGACAUAGUGUCCACGAACCACGCAUGAUUCUCCUUUAGCUUCUUAACCUUUGAAAUUUCACAAUGCCCACACAAUACUCCAUAACUAUACACUNNNNNNNNNNNNNNNNNNNGUCAGAGGAGAGAGAAACAUUUUCGAGGUCGGAGAGGAUAGAAGCGAACGGAUCCCACCAAAGAGAGGAAUCGACGAAAGUAGAAGCCAUUGGAGGAGCUUACAGUGACUGAGCUUAGUACAUAGCUAAAACCCUAGAGAAAGAAGAAGAAGAAGAAGAAAAUGGGAGCAAACAAUGAUAAAAUUUUGAUUUUUCGCGCUACUGGCAAAUAUUCGGAAAAAAAAAAGGCCGUUGUUUUAGGCCCAUUGGCGCUAAUGAUUUCUGCCCAACAUCUCUUUUCCAGCCUAACGAGUACAUAAUAUAUACUGUGGAUUACGAAUACUUUGAUUUUCGAAAAAAAAAAAAAAAAAAAAGCAGAAAUAUAAAAUUAUGUUUGGUUUUGAAAAAAAAAAAAAAGUAUUUAAAUUCUACUGUCGUAUAUGAAUAUGAAAUCAUAAUUGUAAAAUUUUAAAAUAUAGGAAUAUAAUUGAUUUAAUUAUGUAUUAAAUAUAUUAUUUUUAACUAAUUUUAAAUACUAAAUAUACUCAAAAUUAAAAUAAAAUACGGUUACGUUGAAACUUUAAAUGAAAAUAAUAUUAAAUUUUCAUGUAUAAUUUAAAUUAAGUAUUUUUCGUCAUUCAUUUCGUGAUGUGCAUAAAAUUGAAUUAAACAGCAAACAAAAUUCAAUUAUGCACUAGAUGUGUUAAUUAUUAUUAAUUUUGACUAAGAUAUAAAAAAUAAUACAAUAUAAUAAAUUUAAACCAAACGCAACAUACCCACAACUCACUCCAUCAACUAUCAUAUUUUUAUUCUUAAUCUCAUUCAAAAAAUUAUUUUUAAUAUUGUUAGUAUUAUAAUAUAAUUAAAUUGAAAAUAUUAUAUUAUAAUUUUUUGUGUAAUAUUAUUUGUCUAUUUUCUGUAAUUUAUUCGUUAAUUUUUAUACUCUAAAAGUGAUAAAAAAAAUUAAUAAUAAUUUCACGCAAAUUUUCAUGUUGCUUUCUCCAAGUAUUUAAUUCUAUAAUCAAGAGCCGAAAAUUCAGAUAUAUAGCGUUGUUUGUUUUAAUUAGGAAAUAUCAUUCCAUUAUAAUUAUAUUAUUUGGUUUCUCAUUUUUAUUAUUUAUUAAAAACAUAAUGCUUAUUCUGCAUAAAUGCUUUCUAAAGUGGUUGGAUUUCAUUUAAACUUCACAAAAUCUUUCUUUAUUGCAAAUUUUAGAUUAUAAUUUUUUGAGAAUUUGAUAUGACAUUAAAUUAAUGUCCAAUUUCAUAUAUGUAUAUAUGAUGGAAUUUUUUUAAUUGAAAAAAAUUUAAAUUUUCAUUGACUUCGUUAUUCCAAAACUAAAGUGUAUUUAAAUAAGUUUACAUUAAAUUCAAAUUUUAAAAAAAUAAUCUAAAAGAUAAAUAUAAAUUAAAUAUUUUAAAAAAUAAACUCAUAUUAAUAACAUAAUUUUAAGUAAAAAUAAAUUCUAUUCAAAUUCAAACUAAUAAAUAAAAUAAAUUAUAAUUAUUAAAUUUAUUAAUUUUUUAUUUUAUUCGUAUUUUAUAUAUUUAUUUUAUAAUUACCCAAACAAAUAUAUAUAUAUGUAAUAAAAAUGGCUAGGUAGACAAAUACAUUAAUGCUUUUAUAUGUAAUGAAAAUGGUAGGUUUAGUAGCUCAAAUUGUGACAGAUAAUUGAUCUUUGAGAACAUGACAACUGAUUUAUGUCUCUGAACUUUCUUUCCCCAAGCCCACACAACAUUGAAAUAUGCAUAUCUCUUUUAACAUAUUGAUUUAUUAUAUCUUCUUAAAUGUCCAUUUAAUUAUUUUCCUUUCAUAAAAGUUUUGUAUAUAUGAAAACCUAUACAUAUAAUAAAUGGACUCAUCACUAAACUAGUUUUAAAUACCUGCGUUAAGAUAAAAGUUUAUUUAGUUUCAUGGCAUUCCAUUCUCACUAGUUAAAUAAAUAUUGGUGGUAGAUAUAUAUGUGUGUGUGUGUGUGCAUUAUAUGUUUUUAUACAAUUACAUGUACAAUGGUAGACGAAUGGCUCCUUAUAUUUUACUGUAGAUUGUUCAGAAGCAGAAAUACAUGCAAGCAGACACUGGGAAGAACCUAGUAUGCAUACUAUAACUAAAUAGGCACUAUGAAUAUGAACUGCCGUCUUAAUUAAUUGCAGUUGCAGAAAGUGAGGUUCUUCAUUUUUUUUUUUUUUACAGGUCAGAAGCCAACACCCAUGUAUAUUUGUAAAAGCUGCAUGUUACGAACAGAAGAGUUACUGGUAACUUGCUAUAUAUGACAUGAAUUUCGUAACGUAUUUUCCUAUACGGGACUAAGUAUAUCUAUCGAUGUACAGAAAAUUAAUUGUUGAAUUGGCAGAUAUUUUGGUGAUGGAGUAGUUCCAUAUCACAUUAAUGUAUCGUAUAAUAAUUUUAAAUAAUUAAUGAUACACGUUUUACUAAAAUCAAAUGAAGUAUUAUUGGUCUCUACCAGAAGUUUAAAUUUAAAUUUCAUGUUUUUGAAAUAAUAGUUUGUAAAUUUUAAUAUAUUUAUAAUAUUUAUUUUAUUAGAAAAUUAAAGUAUACGUAAGUUAUAAAUAUAUAAUUAAUAUGUAUUUUUUAAAUUUUUUAAAAUGAUUUAUGUAUUACAUGUAUUUAAAAUUUUAAAAAUUAUGUUACUAAUUAUAUAUAUUCUCAUUUUUCUUCGUCUCGUUUCUAAUGAAGUACCACUUUGAAGUAGCUUUAUCUCUUAAAGUUUUUCCCAAGCAUGCGUAAACUUAAGUUCUGCAUAUAAAUUAGUAUAAACUAGUUGAAGUUUCAUGGUCAUAUAUAUAUAUACAUAGAUACGCACACACACAUCCUAUAGAAUUCUUAAAACAAAAUCAGACACUGUUAUUACCGGAAUAGAAUCCACAACAUUUACAAACGCUGAAGAUUUUUAUUUUUAUUUUUGAAAAAAAGAGAGAAAAGAUAAAUUAAGAAAUAAGCACAUGAAAUUAAGAACAACAUCAGUAGUCUCCCACACAAAUCAAUCUUAUAAAUAAUGAAAUACACGUAACUAAUUAUUCACACAGUACUUUUUCUUCUCUUCCUCACAAGUCUUGUUUUAUCUUGUUGGUAUCUCCAUCCUCUUCGGGCUUAAUUUAUUCUGGCUACAAGACUUAAUUAAACAGUGUCUUUCGGCAGAAAACGAUACUCACGAUCACGAUCUUAUAUAAAUAUAUAUAGCCCUACUUAUACCUGCUAAUAUAUUUAUAUAUAUGCAGUAAUCGUGUCCUGCAGUAGAGAUCAGAACUGAUUAAGGAAGAGAAGUUACUGGAGGCCAUUUGCCAUACUUAGGCUUGUGGAAGUACUUCGGCGGGAUGGUCUUGGGGAAAUGAGGAAGCUUAGGAAGAGGAGGACAUGGCUUCUUGAAAGGAGGAAGCUUUGGGAUUGGAGGAAGCGGCUUAUAAAUGGGAACUGGCGUAGGAAGCAGUUUCGGGAUUGGAGGAAAGACUUUCGGAGGACAUGGCUUCUUGAUAGGGGGAAGCUUUGGGAUUGGAGGAAGCGGCUUAUAAAUAGGAACUGGCGGAGGAAGCACUUCCGGGAUUGGAGGAAGCGGCUUAUAAAUCGGAACUGGUGGAGGAAGCACUUUCGGAACAUCCGGAGGACAUGGUUUCUUUUCAGGAACUGGCGGAGGUUUAUAGACAGGAGGUGGAGGAGGAAGCACUUUCGGAACAUCUGGAGGACAUGGUUUCUUUUCAGGAACUGGCGGAGGUUUAUAGACAGGAGCUGGAGGAGGAAGCACUUUCGGAACGUCUGGAGGACAUGGUUUCUUUUCAGGAACUGGCGGAGGUUUAUAGACCGGAGCAGGUGGAGGCUCCGGUUUCUUCUUUUCAGGAACCGGCGGAGGUUUAUAGACCGGAACUGGUGGAGGCUUGACAUAGACCGGAACCGGCGGGGGAAGAAACAAUGGGGGACAUGGUUUCUUGUAGAUGGGAGGGAGAGGGAAAGUGGGGAGGGUAGGGAGAGGAGGGUACUUGAAAUAAGGCCAUAAGAAGGCUGAAGUGCAAGUUACAGGGGAGAAUUUGAGCUUCCCGGAGAGACCCAAGGUGUGUUUUUGGUUGUUUAUGGAUUUGACGAGGAGGAGCUUUGAAGAUUGUAGGCCGUCGUGGGCGGGACACGGCGCAUCUGAUGCACUAUGAAGCUGGGCGUAGCAUUCUUCUUUGAGCUUCCCGGUGGCGCCGUCGACAAUGUCAUGGGCAAGGGACACUGUGAAUUUGCCGCCUUCAUCGAGCUCACCCGAGCCUUUCGUCUUGAACCCUCCUUUUUCUUGCUUGCAGUCUAUUGUCACACGCAGCCCUGGAAUUGGACUCAAGAAAUUAAGUAACCAUGGUUUUUGGUAGAUGAAUUAGAUAUAGAAAAUUAAGGUUAUAAAUGAAUUAAAACUUGAUUAAUUAAUCAACUAAUUACCAUAUUAUUCAUCUUGUAUGUAAUGAAAAAAUGCUUAAGAUAAAACCAAAGAUUGAUGGACCUUUUGAGGCUUGAAAACUAANNNNNNNNNNNNNNNNNNNNNNNNNNNNNNNNNNNNNNNNNNNNNNNNNNNNNNNNNNNNNNNNNNNNNNNNNNNNNNNNNNNNNNNNNNNNNNNNNNNNNNNNNNNNNNNNNNUAAAUAAAUAAUUAAUUAACAUUUUGUAGAUAUAAAAUAUCACUGCAUAUGCAGUAUUACCAUUAGAUUAUUAAGAAUUAUUAGACAAAUUAAAAUCAAAAUUUAUUUAAUCAAAUAAUUGUUAUAAAAAAUGAUUUCUAAAUUACAUUGUACAUUUUUAUAUAUUUGUAUUAGAAAUUUGUGUUAUAAUAAAUAUUUAUAUGUUAUAUAAUUAGGAAAUAUGUAUAUAUAUAUAUAUAUAUAUCUUUAUCAUAUUCUUUCUCCAUUCAUCCCAUUCGUGACCAUCAGAGUACAAAAAAUUAGAACCAAGAUCAUGUCAGCAAAUCUAGGACAAGCCAGAGAAUGAACAAACAGUAUAGUAUUCCUCCUUCAAAGAAGACAGUCAUACCAAAUAAUAAUUAUCGUAAGCAAGUAAUACAUACAUAUAUAUAUAUAUAUGUAUAUAUAUAUUUAUAGAUAUAGACGAUAGUGCAUGUAUAUAAACAGUACCUGAAAAUGCAUGGCUGGGCUUAAUUUUACUCUCAACACAGCCAGCACAGUCUCCAUUCCCCACAACCUCAACUACCACCUUCUUAUCACUUGCAUGGCAGAAGACAGAGACAAAAAGUAAACCCAGAAAAAAACACAGUAGUGCUCCUCGGCAAACGGGGAGGACAAACUGCAUUUUGCAAAUUCCAAGACACCCGAUUAGAUCAGAAACCAUACAACACACUCGGUCAUUAUAUAACACACAUAUAUAUAUAUGCAGUAUUAAACCCACACCGACACCGAAGUUAAGAGCUUCACAUGAGGGUUUGGGGCCCCCCCCCAAUACAUGAGCUGUAGAGGGAGGAGAGAAGGGGUUUGAAAAAGAUGGUAACGUGCGCACCGGCUGGGCAAAACGGCAUUCAAUGACUUCUCAACUACUACUCAUCUAAAUCUUUCUUCUGUAUAUAUGUAUAUAUAUAUAUAUAUAUUAUAUAAUCAUUAUUGUUAUCAUCGUCAUCAUCAUCUUUUUCUCUCCCUUAAACCUACUUACCAGCUCUUGUAAUAAAUACUCUUACUUUUUAACAAUUGGGAGUUGAAUCACAGCAGAUGUUCAUGCUUCUUUUUGGAGUAUUACUUGUAAAGAAGUAAUUUCAGGCCUCAGAAUAUAUAUAAAUGUGUGUGUAUAUAUGUAUGUACAUUUUCGGCGUUUAUCUUAGAUAAUUGAGCCACAUAUAGAUAUAGAGCUCCAAUUUUUCUCGUGAAUCAACGUCUAAUAUGCCAUGGAACUUAAUAUAUAUCAGAAUUCAAUACACAUAUACAGACGUGUAACAUUUGCAUGCACAUACACGUAUAUGUGUCUGUGUGUAAACGUAUAUUUCACUGAUUCUCUUCUUUCAUGAUCCCAAAAUUUACCAAUAAUUAAUUAGUUAAUACUACAUGCAUGAUUUAGAGGGUUUUGAUUAUUAUAAGCAAUCAUAUUUUCACCUAAUUUUCCGGCGUGUAUGUAUAUUGUAUGUAAAUGCACAUUUGGCUUAGCAGACAGGCUGCGUGUAUGCAUAUAUAUAUAUAUAUAUACAUAUAAUAAUAUUCAGAUUUCAUAUAUAAUUUAUAAUUUGCAUUCAUAUAAUUCAAAANNNNNNNNNNNNNNNNNNNNNNNNNNNNNNNNNNNNNNNNNNNNNNNNNNNNNNNNNNNNNNNNNNNNNNNNNNNNNNNNNNNNNNNNNNNNNNNNNNNNNNNNNNNNNNNNNNNNNNNNNNNNNNNNNNNNNNNNNNNNNNNNNNNNNNNNNNNNNNNNNNNNNNNNNNNNNNNNNNNNNNNNNNNNNNNNNNNNNNNNNNNNNNNNNNNNNNNNNNNNNNNNNNNNNNNNNNNNNNNNNNNUUUUGUUAAAUUUAUUAAUUAACUCAUAGUUUUAUUAAAUUAUUAUUUUUAUUAUAUAUGUCGAUAUCACAUAAAUAAUUUUAACAGUAUAAAAAAAUAAAUAAAUACAAUGUAAUAAAUGACGUUCCCAUUUUAAGGAGGAUUUGAGUUUAUGCUAUUGGGUCAGAAUGGUUAAGGAUCCAUCGUAACUUUAAAUCAGAAACUUCAACGAGGUUUUUCCAUUUUGUAAAUUCGUGUAUGUAUAAAUAUUUAAUUAAAUAAAUUCAUAUAUUUAUUAUACUCGAAGAAUUUUCAAAUUAAUCCCAACAUUGUUGAUUUUCUUCUUCGAGUUAGGAGUCCUGUAUCCUCCUCUCUGCAAAUCUUAACAAACACACCGAAGAAACCAAUUGUAUUUUACUCUCCCAAAUCGAUCAAAACAAAUCAUUACUAAUUCAUUUACUUUUUUUUUUUCGUAAAAUAUAAAUUUAUGUUGAUUCGAUUUUUACUAUGUAUUACGAAUGACUCGUCGAGUUUUUCAAUCAAAACUUCACUUGAAUCCCAUUUACUACAGGACGCUUACCUAAAUGUUGGCUAGGUAAGCGUCCUGUAGUAAGAGGAGUAGUUAUGAACCCUGUAGACCAUCCCCAUGGAGGUGGUGAAGGGAGGGCUCCAAUUGGUAGAAAAAAACCCGCAACCCCUUGGGGUUAUCCUGCACUUGGAAGAAGAAGUAGAAAAAGAAAUAAAUAUAGUGAUAAUUUGAUUCUUCGUCGCCGUAGUAAAUAGGAGAGAAAAUCGAAUUUCUUUCUUCGUCUUUAAAAAAAAAAAUAGGAGUUAAUUAACUGUGACACGUUCACUAAAAAAAAAUCUUUUUGUAGCAAAUCAUUUAUUAAAAAAAAUAGAGAAGCUUAAUACAAAGGCAGAAAAAGAAAUAAUAAUAACUUGGUCCCGGGCAUCGACCAUUAUACAAUAAUCUAAUUUUGUGUUGAAAAUUAUUACAAUUCUAUAAAUUGAACUUUAUAAUGUUUUAUAAGAAGUGUAUAAAUAUUCUACCAGAUAUGUCAUGUAAUAUAAAUCAUGAGUUUCCUAACUUCAAACAUAUUUAAAUUUAAAAAAAAAAUAUCUACGUUAAUUAUCACGCAAUCACCUAAAUUAUAGUAUUUAAUUU
RNAcentral lists this long non-coding RNA (40309 nucleotides) under Carica papaya (papaya). RNAcentral's name for it is "long non-coding RNA (CPAP_LNC009712)". Lineage: Eukaryota; Viridiplantae; Streptophyta; Magnoliopsida; Brassicales; Caricaceae. The record is from RNAcentral.